CCGUGUUUGAGAGAGCUUCCUUCAGUCCACUCAUGGAUGGUUGUAGGGUUUGAAUCAGCUGCCGACUCAUUCGCUCAAACACCCAGUAGAAAGGAAGCGGACACAAUUCUCUACUCCACAUGGCAGCAGAAGGAAAAGGGUUUGGGUUCUGAGAUUGCUACUGUGUGAAUGAGUGAAUGAUGCGGGAGAUUAUUCUCUCUCUUCCAUUCCAUACUUGGACUGAAGGGAGCUCCCUCUCUCUCUUCU
Musa acuminata subsp. malaccensis (wild Malaysian banana) is the source of this 246-nucleotide non-coding RNA. The record is from Rfam. Lineage: Eukaryota; Viridiplantae; Streptophyta; Magnoliopsida; Zingiberales; Musaceae.